AAUGUGUUUGAUCUGUUUGAAAGGUGUAAUCGGCGUUUGCAUGUGUUUUUGGAAUAGCUUGCAUGUACUGGUCCAGUUGUCGCUUGCAUGGCAUAAUGAAUGGAUAACAUUGCUUCGCUUAGCCACAUAGGAUAAGUGAAACGCAGAGUUUCACAUGCUAGUGCGCCACAUUUUAAAUUGUUCCUCCCUUCGAAUCCUGGCUCCAGCUUCUUUUCAAAUGGCAUUUUAAUUUUCUCUUUUC
Molecule: long non-coding RNA, 241 nt
Filed under: Lathyrus oleraceus (garden pea)
Lineage: Eukaryota; Viridiplantae; Streptophyta; Magnoliopsida; Fabales; Fabaceae
Description: Pisum sativum (pea) long non-coding RNA (PSAT_LNC020502)
Source: RNAcentral